CCUACGGGAGGCAGCAGUAGGGAAUCUUCCGCAAUGGACGAAAGUCUGACGGAGCAACGCCGCGUGAACGAUGAAGGCCUUCGGGUCGUAAAGUUCUGUUGUUAGGGAAGAACAAGUGCUAGUUGAAUAAGCUGGCACCUUGACGGUACCUAACCAGAAAGCCACGGCUAACUACGUGCCAGCAGCCGCGGUAAUACGUAGGUGGCAAGCGUUGUCCGGAAUUAUUGGGCGUAAAGCGCGCGCAGGCGGUUUCUUAAGUCUGAUGUGAAAGCCCCCGGCUCAACCGGGGAGGGUCAUUGGAAACUGGGAAACUUGAGUGCAGAAGAGGAAAGUGGAAUUCCAAGUGUAGCGGUGAAAUGCGUAGAGAUUUGGAGGAACACCAGUGGCGAAGGCGACUUUCUGGUCUGUAACUGACGCUGAGGCGCGAAAGCGUGGGGAGCAAACAGGAUUAGAUACCCUGGUAGUCCACGCUGUAAACGAUGAGUGCUAAGUGUUAGAGGGUUUCCGCCCUUUAGUGCUGAAGUUACGCAUUAAGCACUCCGCCUGGGGAUACGGUCGCAGACUGAAACUUAAAGGAAUUGAGG
This 584-nucleotide ribosomal RNA is filed under the name uncultured bacterium. Its description in RNAcentral is "bacterial SSU rRNA". It matches the Rfam family "Bacterial small subunit ribosomal RNA", at positions 338 to 915 of the family's 1533-position model. The record is from RNAcentral.